GUCCACGCUGUAAACGAUGAGUACUAGAUAUCGGGAUGAACAUUUCGGUGUUGUAGCUAACGCGUUAAGUACUCCGCCUGGGGACUACGGUCGCAAGAUUAAAACUCAAAGGAAUUGACGGGGACCCGCACAAGCGGUGGAUUAUGUGGUUUAAUUCGAUGCAACGCGAAGAACCUUACCAACCUUUGACAUGGUGGUCGUAGGGCCUAGAGAUAGGCCCGUCAGUUCGGCUGGACCACACACAGGUGUUGCAUGGCUGUCGU
RNAcentral lists this ribosomal RNA (263 nucleotides) under uncultured bacterium. RNAcentral describes it as "partial 16S ribosomal RNA". It matches the Rfam family "Bacterial small subunit ribosomal RNA", at positions 793 to 1055 of the family's 1533-position model. The record is from RNAcentral.